UACGUAGGGUGCAAGCGUUAAUCGGAAUUACUGGGCGUAAAGCGUGCGCAGGCGGUUUUGUAAGACCGGUGUGAAAUCCCCGGGCUUAACCUGGGAACUGCAUUGGUGACUGCAAGGCUUGAGUGUGUCAGAGGGAGGUGGAAUUCCGCGUGUAGCAGUGAAAUGCGUAGAUAUGCGGAGGAACACCGAUGGCGAAGGCAGCCUCCUGGGAUAACACUGACGCUCAUGCACGAAAGCGUGGGGAGCAAACAGG
RNAcentral lists this ribosomal RNA (253 nucleotides) under uncultured bacterium. RNAcentral's name for it is "partial 16S ribosomal RNA". It matches the Rfam family "Bacterial small subunit ribosomal RNA", at positions 524 to 776 of the family's 1533-position model. The record is from RNAcentral.